Long non-coding RNA from Corticium candelabrum, 331 nucleotides. RefSeq lists it as uncharacterized. NCBI's taxonomy places the organism in Eukaryota, Metazoa, Porifera, Homoscleromorpha, Homosclerophorida, Plakinidae. The record is from RefSeq and is a predicted model, not a curated record. The transcript is spliced from 3 exons.
CAAAGGAUCAGUGUUGUGGAGAACAGAUAGGAAGUUUUUCGGUGGCUUUCAGUGACGGGAGCACGUGUGAGUUGUGUCCGUCAAGAACUGAGUUGCACCUCUGCGACGUAGAUUGCGCUUGCGCAGGAAGCAGACAAGCUAGAAACCAAGUAAAUUAUUUCUACGUCAGAGCUCCGGAGGAAUAUAUUAAUGGAUCUCAAACUGCUUGGUUGGGAGUCACAGGAAUAUAUUUCUCCAUUGACGAGAAUAUCGAUGGUGAAGUUGAUGCAAGAGAAGGGAUAGUCUCUCUGAUCAGCCUUCCUGGAGGAUGCGCAGAGCAAAACAUGAUGAG